RNAcentral lists this ribosomal RNA (579 nucleotides) under Triticum aestivum (bread wheat). Its description in RNAcentral is "partial small subunit ribosomal RNA". The record is from RNAcentral. Lineage: Eukaryota; Viridiplantae; Streptophyta; Magnoliopsida; Poales; Poaceae.
AUGGAUGGCCUGGUUGUGUGCGAAGGAUGCAGUUCUCACGCGCAAGCUAGGGUUGGAGCCGCCAGCUCUUCAUCCUGCCCGCCGGCGGCGAGUCUUCCUGUCCCGCACUUCCGCCUCCCCAUUAUCACAGCCCCUGAGCAAAAGUUGCUGGAGUCUUUGAAGGAGUUGGAGAAGUCUCUAGCGAUGCAAGUUCGUCUUAAACCUGAGUCCGAAUCCAAUUUCGUGGGAACAAGCAUAUAUUCCAUGAAUUUUCCAUUAGAUUCAGUGGACAGGUUCAUCUGGUCCUUUACUCCUCACAUAAUAACUGUGAAACUUAAUGAGGAAGGUUAUCCUUUCUUCAAGGACUGGAAGUUUCCUGUAGUCUUCAUUUUGGCCAUGUACCUUCAAACUGAACCAAAAAUGUUGAUAAGACAUGGGCUGGACUUACUUCCGAUGUGCAAUAUUUUCGGUAAAGUGAUUCAAGUGAAACUGGGAAUUGGACGUGCGCUCUUCUACUCGGCUACUCGGACGUGCCCUCAGGGUACUCAGCUCAUGAGCCUCCCACUAUUCCUUGUGAAGCAGCAAAUGCAACAUACCUAA